This 253-nucleotide ribosomal RNA is filed under the name uncultured bacterium. Its description in RNAcentral is "partial 16S ribosomal RNA". It matches the Rfam family "Bacterial small subunit ribosomal RNA", at positions 524 to 776 of the family's 1533-position model. The record is from RNAcentral.
GACGUAGGAGGCGAGCGUUAUCCGGAGUUACUGGGCGUAAAGCGCGUGCAGGCGGCAGGACAAGUGGCGGGGGAAAGCGCCCGGCUCAACCGGGCGAGUGCCGGUCAGACUGUUCUGCUGGAGUACCGGUGAGGGACGUGGAAUUCCGGGUGUAGCGGUGAAAUGUGCAGAGAUCCGGAGGAACACCAGCGGCGCAAGCGGCGUCCUAGACGGAAACUGACGCUGAAACGCGACAGCGUGGGGAGCGAACGGG